This 1035-nucleotide ribosomal RNA is filed under the name Leifsonia lichenia. RNAcentral describes it as "bacterial SSU rRNA". It matches the Rfam family "Bacterial small subunit ribosomal RNA", at positions 419 to 1463 of the family's 1533-position model. Lineage: Bacteria; Bacillati; Actinomycetota; Actinomycetes; Micrococcales; Microbacteriaceae. The record is from RNAcentral.
CGGGUUGUAAACCUCUUUUGGCAGGGAAGAAGCGAAAGUGACGGUACCUGCAGAAAAAGCACGGGCUAACUACGUGCCAGCAGCCGCGGUAAUACGUAGGGUGCGAGCGUUGUCCGGAAUUAUUGGGCGUAAAGAGCUCGUAGGCGGUUCGUCGCGUCUGCUGUGAAAUCCCGAGGCUCAACCUCGGGCCUGCAGUGGGUACGGGCGAACUAGAGUGCAGUAGGGGAGACUGGAAUUCCUGGUGUAGCGGUGGAAUGCGCAGAUAUCAGGAGGAACACCGAUGGCGAAGGCAGGUCUCUGGGCUGUAACUGACGCUGAGGAGCGAAAGCGUGGGGAGCGAACAGGAUUAGAUACCCUGGUAGUCCACGCCGUAAACGUUGGGCGCUAGAUGUGGGGACCAUUCCACGGUUUCCGUGUCGCAGCUAACGCAUUAAGCGCCCCGCCUGGGGAGUACGGCCGCAAGGCUAAAACUCAAAGGAAUUGACGGGGGCCCGCACAAGCGGCGGAGCAUGCGGAUUAAUUCGAUGCAACGCGAAGAACCUUACCAAGGCUUGACAUAUACGAGAACGGGCCAGAAAUGGUCAACUCUUUGGACACUCGUAUACAGGUGGUGCAUGGUUGUCGUCAGCUCGUGUCGUGAGAUGUUGGGUUAAGUCCCGCAACGAGCGCAACCCUCGUUCUAUGUUGCCAGCACGUAAUGGUGGGAACUCAUAGGAGACUGCCGGGGUCAACUCGGAGGAAGGUGGGGAUGACGUCAAAUCAUCAUGCCCCUUAUGUCUUGGGCUUCACGCAUGCUACAAUGGCCGGUACAAUGGGCUGCAAUACCGUGAGGUGGAGCGAAUCCCAAAAAGCCGGUCUCAGUUCGGAUUGAGGUCUGCAACUCGACCUCAUGAAGUCGGAGUCGCUAGUAAUCGCGAAUCAGCAACGUCGCGGUGAAUACGUUCCCGGGCCUUGUACACACCGCCCGUCAAGUCAUGAAAGUCGGUAACACCCGAAGCCGGUGGCCCAACCCUUGUGGAGGGAGCCGUCGAAUGA